CCUACGGGUGGCAGCAGUGAGGAAUAUUGGUCAAUGGGCGCAGGCCUGAACCAGCCAAGUCGCGUGAGGGAAGACUGCCCUAUGGGUUGUAAACCUCUUUUAUAAGGGAAGAAUAAUGACUACGUGUAGUCAGAUGCCCGUACCCUAUGAAUAAGCAUCGGCUAACUCCGUGCCAAAAGCCGCGGUAAUACGGGGGAUGCGAGCGUUGUCCGGUUUUAUUGGGUUAAAAGGGGACGUAGGCGGGAUUUUAAGUGAGUGGUAAAACGUAGGGGCUUCACCUGGAUUGGCCAUUAAAACUGGAGUACUAGAGUGCAGACGAGGUAGGCGGAAUAAGGUAAGUAGCGGUGAAAUGCUUAGAUAUA
This 362-nucleotide ribosomal RNA is filed under the name uncultured bacterium. RNAcentral describes it as "partial 16S ribosomal RNA". It matches the Rfam family "Bacterial small subunit ribosomal RNA", at positions 338 to 698 of the family's 1533-position model. The record is from RNAcentral.